AAUACAAUAAAAUCCCUUUGCCCCGCACCGUUUGGUGCGGGACUUCGCGGGGAAUUUGGUGUAAAUCCAAAACUGUGCCGCAACGGUGUCUCACAUCCGUUCGACAUAAAUUAUUACAAGCACCCGUUGUAAAAGUAUCUAUAGCAACAGAAUAAAGUAAUAGUUUACUACGAACAAAGUGAGGAGUCCGAAAACCGCAAUGAGGAAAACCCGGUA
RNAcentral lists this non-coding RNA (216 nucleotides) under Candidatus Curtissiibacteriota. The record is from RNAcentral.